CAAGAUCACAUGGCUGCUCAUUUCAAGAAACUGAUGUCUGCCAAAGCUGCUGUUGAUUCAUCUGCACCGAAGAGUUUGCAUACCAGUGUUAAAUGUUAGCUCCAGAAAUGUCUGUCUUGGCAAAAGAAGUUUUAUCCCUUGAAGAAAAAAACUCAAAAUUUAAAUGCACAAUGAAAAUGUGCAUCAGAACUUACAUCUUCUGAAGCAUUAAGUAGGGCAGUAGCACAA
This is a long non-coding RNA of Pipra filicauda (Wire-tailed manakin), 228 nucleotides long. RefSeq lists it as uncharacterized. The transcript has 3 exons. The record is from RefSeq and is a predicted model, not a curated record. Lineage: Eukaryota; Metazoa; Chordata; Aves; Passeriformes; Pipridae.